CAUUUUCUGCCACCGAAUACAUUAGCAUGGGAUAAUGGAAUAGGACCCUGUCCUCCUAUUUUCAGUUGGUUUUGGCAGCGCGAGGACUAGGGUAAUGAUUAAUAGGGAUAGUUGGGGGCAUUAAUAUUUAAUUGUCAGAGGUGAAAUUCUUGGAUUUAUGAAAGAUUAACUUCUGCGAAAGCAUCUGCCAAGGAUGUUUUCAUUAAUCAAGAACGAAAGUUAGGGGAUCGAAGACGAUCAGAUACCGUCGUAGUCUUAACCAUAAACGAUGCCGACCAGCGAUUAGGAGACGUUGAAUACAAAACACCACCAUCGGCGCGGUCGUCCUUGGCGUUCGUGUUCACGCACGAGCGCGAGGGCGGCUUAGCCCGAUGGCACCGGUGAAUGACUCCCUAG
Molecule: ribosomal RNA, 396 nt
Filed under: Acanthamoeba sp. MN-2012
Lineage: Eukaryota; Discosea; Longamoebia; Acanthamoebidae
Description: SSU rRNA
Rfam family: Eukaryotic small subunit ribosomal RNA (bases 1-342)
Source: RNAcentral